CUGCUGGGGAGAGAUAUGGUGUACGUGACCGUCGAUACCUGCUGCGGUAAGGAUGAGAUGUUCGCCGGAGAUUGCAUCGGUCGAAGGACCGGUUACCAGGUCAGGCGAUACGCCUUCCAUUAUAUCCGGGUUACCGGCUUUUCCGAUACCGGCAAUCUUGCCGUCCUUGAUGCCGACAUCUGCCUUUACCACGCCCAGAAUAGGGUCGAGGAUAGUCACAUUGGUUAUCACGAGGUCGAGGGAGCCUCCCUUGACCGAAUAGCGGUUGGCAAGUCCCAUGCCAUCGCG
Molecule: small RNA, 288 nt
Filed under: uncultured Muribaculum sp.
Lineage: Bacteria; Pseudomonadati; Bacteroidota; Bacteroidia; Bacteroidales; Muribaculaceae
Description: 5' ureB small RNA
Rfam family: 5' ureB small RNA
Source: RNAcentral